UACGUAGGGGGCAAGCGUUGUCCGGAUUUAUUGGGCGUAAAGAGCGUGUAGGCGGUUAGAUAGGUCCGUUGUGAAAACUCGAGGCUCAACCUCGAGACGUCGAUGGAAACCAUCUGGCUAGAGUCCGGAAGAGGAGAGUGGAAUUCCUGGUGUAGCGGUGAAAUGCGCAGAUAUCGGGAGGAACACCUAUGGCGAAGGCAGCUCGCUGGGACGUUACUGACGCUGAGACGCGAAAUCGUGGGGAGCAAACAGG
This 253-nucleotide ribosomal RNA is filed under the name uncultured bacterium. RNAcentral's name for it is "partial 16S ribosomal RNA". It matches the Rfam family "Bacterial small subunit ribosomal RNA", at positions 524 to 776 of the family's 1533-position model. The record is from RNAcentral.